Molecule: long non-coding RNA, 2910 nt
Filed under: Bos indicus x Bos taurus (hybrid cattle)
Lineage: Eukaryota; Metazoa; Chordata; Mammalia; Artiodactyla; Bovidae
Description: lncRNA (ENSBIXG00000012831.1)
Source: RNAcentral
AUGCCACACACACACACACCACACACUCACACCACAUACACACUAUACCACACACACACACCACACACACACACCACACACUCACACCACACACACACACCCACACCACAUACACACUAUACCACACACCCACACACCCACACACACCACACACAUACACACUAUACCACACACACACACACACCACACACACAUACACACCCACACCACAUACACACCCACACCACACACACACACACCACACACUCACAUUACAUACACACUAUACCACACACACACACACACACACCACACUCACAUACACACCCACACCACACACACACCCACACCACAUACACACACCACACACACCCACACCACACACAUACACACACACCACACACACACACACCACACACACACACACACACACCACAUACACACUAUACCACACACACACACACCCACACACACCACACACACACUAUACCACACACACACACACACCCACACCACACACACACAUACACACACACACCACACACAUACACACACACACCACAUACACACACACCACACACUCACACACACACACACACCACAUACACACUAUACCACACACACACACACCCACACACACCACACACACACUAUACCACACACACACACACACCCACACCACACACACAUACACACACACACCACACACAUACACACACACACCACAUACACACACACCACACACUCACACACACACACACACCACAUACACACUAUACCACACACACACACACACCACACACUCACACCACAUACACACACACACCACACACUCACACACACACACACACCACACACACACCCACACCACAUACACACACCACACACACCCACACCACACACACACCACACACACACACACCACACACUCACACCACAUACACACUAUACCACACACACACACACACACACACACCACACACACACCCACACCACAUACACACACCACACACACCCACACCACACACAUACACACACACACCACACACACACACACCACAUACACACCACACACAUACACACUAUACCACACACACACACACCACAUACACACUAUACCACACAGACACACACCACACUCACAUCACAUACACACUAUACCACACACACACACACACACACACCACACACACAUACACACCCACACCACACACACACACACACCACACACAUACACACACACACCACACACACCCACACCACACACAUACACACACACACCACACACACACACACCACACACUCACACCACAUACACACUAUACCACACACACACACACCACAUACACACCACACACAUACACACUAUACCACACACACACACACCACAUACAUACUAUACCACACACACACACACCACACACUCACAUCACAUACACACUAUACCACACACACACACACACACACACACACACACCACACACAUACACACCCACACCACACACACACACACACCACACACAUACACACACACACCACACACACACACACACCACACACACACACACACCACACACAUACACACCCACACCACAUACACACUAUACCACACACACACACACACACACACCACACACAUACACACACACACACACCACACAGGCGCCACAGCACACCCACACAGACUAUACCACACACACACACACACCACACACCCACACCACAUACACACCACACACACACACACCCACACCACACACACACCACACACAUACACACACACACCACACACACACACCCCCACACCACACACACACACACACACACCACACACACACCACACACACACACACCACCACAUACACACUAUACCACACACACACACACACACCACACACACACACACACACACACACACACACACCACACAUACACACACACACACCCCACACAGGCGCCACAGCACACCCACACCCACACACACACCACAUACACACUAUACCACACACACACACACAAACCACACACACACACCACACAGGCACUGCAGCACACCCACACAGACUAUACCACACACACACACACCACACACCCACACCACAUACACACUAUACCACACACACACACACCACAUACACACUAUACCACACACACACACACCACACACUCACAUACACACACACACCACACACACACCCACACCACAUACACACUAUACCACACACACACACACACCACACACUCACAUACACACACACACCACACACACACCCACACCACAUACACACUAUACCACACACACACACACACACACCACACACUCACAUACACACACACACCACACAGGCGCCACAGCACACCCACACCCCCACACACACCACAUACACACUAUACCACACACACGUACACACACACACACACCACACACACAGACUAUACCACACACAUAUACACCAUCACACACCACACACACACCACACAGGCACCACACUAUACCCACACACACACCACACCCACACACAUAUACACAUAUACAUACCACCCACACACACUAUGCCACACACACACAACACAGACACCCACACACACAUACACAAUACACACACACACACCCCCCGUACACACGCCACAUCACACAUUCCACACACACAAACCCCACACCACACACACAUACCACAGAUACCACACCACAGACACAUGACACACACCACACACGCAUUACCACAUACACACGUCUCACACACCGUAUGCAUACCACACACGUAUCCCACGUAUGUACCAUGCACAACACAUCGCACACACAGUAUCAGAACUAGUAAGCCAGUUCAUACGGCAGGACAUGAACCAGUACAGGAAAAUCUACUGCAUUCAUACGUUAGUAAUGAACAAUUUGGAAAUGAAAUUAAGCAGGUCCGUCUACCACAGUAUUAA